This 1422-nucleotide ribosomal RNA is filed under the name Burkholderia mallei FMH. RNAcentral describes it as "16S ribosomal RNA". RNAcentral also lists the same sequence under 2 other names. Lineage: Bacteria; Pseudomonadati; Pseudomonadota; Betaproteobacteria; Burkholderiales; Burkholderiaceae. The record is from RNAcentral.
GCAAUGCGCCGGCUGCCGACAUCGCCGGAAAAGAGCGACGCGGGCGCGCAACGUGCGUUCGCGGACGGCGAAGCGCGCAUCUCGGCCGCGACCGCGCGAAUGGCGGAAGCGAACCUGCGGCUCGUGCUGUCGAUCGCGCGCAAGUACGCGUCGCGCGGCCUGGAUCUCGCCGAUCUGCUGCAGGAAGGCAACCUCGGCCUGCUGCGCGCGAUCGAGAAAUUCGAGCAUCGGCGCGGCUUCAAGUUUUCGACGUAUGCGACGUGGUGGAUUCGUCAGGCGAUUUCGCGCGCGAUCGCCGAGCGCGCACGCACGAUUCGCGUGCCGGUUCAUGUCGGCGACGAAGCGCGCCGCGUGCGCAAGGCCGCCGAUCGGAUCGAACGGCGCAGCGGUGUAAGCGCAUCGCUCGCCGAGCUGUCGGAGGCGACCGGGCUGCCGGCCGAGCGGCUGCGCGCGGUGCUGACGCUGCCUCGCGAGCCGCGCUCGCUGAACGCGCCGCUAGGCGAUGACGACCAGGCCGAAUUCGGCGACAUCGUCGAGGAUACGUCGACGCCGAGCCUGUUCGAUGCGCUCGCCCACGGGCAGAUGUGCGACGUCGUCACGUCGCUGCUGAAAACGAUGUCCGCGCAGGAAGCCGACAUCCUGCGCCGGCGCUUCGGCAUCGGCGGCGACGAGCCGUGGAGCUACGAGCAGAUCGCCGCGCGAGCGGGCGUGUCGCGCGAGCAGGUACGCCGCAUCGAGAAGCGCGCGCUGCAGACGCUGCGCGUGACGGCCGAAGCGUGCAACGCGCACGACUUCCUCGACGUGCAGCCGUAACGCCCGCCGCGCCGCGCGUCACACGCUGAAGCGGUUCAGCGUAUAGGCGCGGUAAGCGGCGACGAACGCGUCGAACGAUCCGGCGUUCUUGCCUUCGAGUUCGGCCUGCUCGGCAAGCGAGCGCUCGGCGAGCGCCCGCGCGUCGCGCGUCGCGGCUUCGUCGAGCGGGCGGCCAUGGAAAUACGCCGCAUGCGCGGCGCUUUGCGCGCGUGCGAACUCGAGGAACGACUGUCCGUUCUCGCGCAUCGCGCGCAGCACGCGCGCGGAAGACGUGAGCUCCGGAUCGUCCAGCUUCGCGCGCUGCGCGGCGAUCGCGCGCGCAUGCGUGUCGUCGCCGCGGAUGUCGUCGAGCACGCGGCCCGCGGCUUCGAUCUGCGCGAAGAUCUCGUCGGCCCAUGCACGCAUCGGCACGGCCGCGCCGUCGCGCGUCAGUUCGAGCCCCGGCUUGCGCCCUUCCAUCGUCACGCGGCCGAAAUUCGCAUUCGACUCGCGAUACGCAUCGCACGUGAGCGGCGCGCUCUCGUCGAGCGCGCAGACGAGCAGGUACGCGUCGAGAAAGCGCGCGGUGUCGAGUGCGAUGCCCGUCGGCUCGAACGGAUCGAUGUCGAG